UACGUAGGGGGCAAGCGUUGUCCGGAAUCAUUGGGCGUAAAGAGCGUGUAGGCGGCCCGAUAAGUCCGCUGUGAAAGUCCAGGGCUCAACCCUGGAAUGCCGGUGGAUACUGUCGGGCUCGAAUCCGGAAGAGGUGAGUGGAAUUCCUGGUGUAGCGGUGAAAUGCGCAGAUAUCAGGAGGAACACCGAUAGCGAAGGCAGCUCGCUGGGACGGUACUGACGCUAAGGCGCGAAAGCGUGGGGAGCGAACAGG
This 253-nucleotide ribosomal RNA is filed under the name uncultured bacterium. RNAcentral describes it as "partial 16S ribosomal RNA". It matches the Rfam family "Bacterial small subunit ribosomal RNA", at positions 524 to 776 of the family's 1533-position model. The record is from RNAcentral.